This 332-nucleotide RNase P RNA is filed under the name Actinomycetota bacterium. RNAcentral's name for it is "RNase P RNA component class A". It matches the Rfam family "Bacterial RNase P class A". Rfam says of the family: Ribonuclease P (RNase P) is a ubiquitous endoribonuclease, found in archaea, bacteria and eukarya as well as chloroplasts and mitochondria. Its best characterised activity is the generation of mature 5'-ends of tRNAs by cleaving the 5'-leader elements of precursor-tRNAs. Cellular RNase Ps are ribonucleoproteins. Lineage: Bacteria; Bacillati; Actinomycetota. The record is from RNAcentral.
CCUGCGGGCCAGACAGCCGCGGAGGUAACGCCCUUCGAGGAAAGUCCGGACAUCGCAGGGCAGGGCGGUCGGGACACCGACCCGGGGAAACCCGCGGGAAAGUGCCACAGAAACACACCGCCGAUGGCGCGUCCGCACGUGCGACGCGCACAGGCAAGGGUGAAAUGGUGCGGUAAGAGCGCACCGGCGUCACGGUGACGUGGCGGCCGGGCAAACCCCACCCGGUGCAAGGCCAAGCAGGACCGUUUGCAGGCUGCCCGCCAAGGUCCAGGUCGGCCGCUCAGAUGGAUGACCGUCCACGACAGAAUCCGGCUUACCGGCUUGCUACGGAA